Molecule: unclassified non-coding RNA, 284 nt
Filed under: Hevea brasiliensis (rubber tree)
Lineage: Eukaryota; Viridiplantae; Streptophyta; Magnoliopsida; Malpighiales; Euphorbiaceae
Source: RNAcentral
GUGAUUAAGGCACCAAUACAGGAUUGUGAGAUUCACAGUCAUAUCAUGUGUACAGUGUAGGCAUUACAGACCAACACAAUCUAAAUAUGCUCAUUAUAUAGCAGCUGUAACAGCUAAUAAAUAUAUGAAUUCUAUUAUAAGAUUAUAUGAAAUAUAUUCUACUGAGAAUUAAAUUAAAAUCUAAAUUAACUUGUAUUAACUAUCCAAAACAGAUUUUUCACAUAUAAUGUCAGUAACAUAGAGAAAAACAGAUUAAAUCAUGAAAUGAUAUUAAGCAAACCAAA